AGGAGCUCUCCAGACCCCGACGAUUGGAUGAAGUCAUGCAACCUUUCUUUGUUCCUUCUUGUCGGUGACCAUAUUCGGGUGACCUCAGUUUGGGGGAUCCAGCACACAGAUGGAGAAGUGAUUCUUCAACUCAUCGAAGUACCUACAGGGGUCAAAGCGUUACGUCUCUGCUUUGGAGGGGCUGUCAAAAAAAGUGGUCCCUGGUGUUCCAGGGUUUGGGAUGCAGAGAGGUAGACAGCAGGAAGUGCCCUGGACCCCAGGAAGGAGCGUUUCCAGUGGGACCCGGUAGAAUACGGCCCUGUGAGGAAGUGAGCUCACUGGAAGAUUUGUGUGUGUGCUGGGUGAAAACCUGCUGAGUUCGUUUCUGCCUGGUUCUUUGUGCCUGAAAUGUAAUUGUUUUGUUUUAGCACUUUCCAAGUUUGUUCGGUUUAACUCCUGUCUCCAUGGUUUCUGAGUGCUGACCUGCUUAACGCCCUGUUUUGUAUGAGAACGUAAAUAAAAGGAGUCAGACCCC
Molecule: non-coding RNA, 514 nt
Organism: Kogia breviceps (pygmy sperm whale)
Lineage: Eukaryota; Metazoa; Chordata; Mammalia; Artiodactyla; Physeteridae
Source: RefSeq, a predicted model, not a curated record